AGAGUUUGAUCCUGGCUCAGGAUGAACGCUGGCGGCGUGCUUAACACAUGCAAGUCGAACGGUGAACACGGAGCUUGCUCUGUGGGAUCAGUGGCGAACGGGUGAGUAACACGUGAGCAACCUGCCCCUGACUCUGGGAUAAGCGCUGGAAACGGCGUCUAAUACUGGAUAUGUGACGUGACCGCAUGGUCUGCGUCUGGAAAGAAUUUCGGUUGGGGAUGGGCUCGCGGCCUAUCAGCUUGUUGGUGAGGUAAUGGCUCACCAAGGCGUCGACGGGUAGCCGGCCUGAGAGGGUGACCGGCCACACUGGGACUGAGACACGGCCCAGACUCCUACGGGAGGCAGCAGUGGGGAAUAUUGCACAAUGGGCGCAAGCCUGAUGCAGCAACGCCGCGUGAGGGACGACGGCCUUCGGGUUGUAAACCUCUUUUAGCAGGGAAGAAGCGAAAGUGACGGUACCUGCAGAAAAAGCGCCGGCUAACUACGUGCCAGCAGCCGCGGUAAUACGUAGGGCGCAAGCGUUAUCCGGAAUUAUUGGGCGUAAAGAGCUCGUAGGCGGUUUGUCGCGUCUGCUGUGAAAUCCGGAGGCUCAACCUCCGGCCUGCAGUGGGUACGGGCAGACUAGAGUGCGGUAGGGGAGAUUGGAAUUCCUGGUGUAGCGGUGGAAUGCGCAGAUAUCAGGAGGAACACCGAUGGCGAAGGCAGAUCUCUGGGCCGUAACUGACGCUGAGGAGCGAAAGGGUGGGGAGCAAACAGGAUUAGAUACCCUGGUAGUCCAA
RNAcentral lists this ribosomal RNA (779 nucleotides) under uncultured bacterium. RNAcentral describes it as "bacterial SSU rRNA". It matches the Rfam family "Bacterial small subunit ribosomal RNA", at positions 8 to 798 of the family's 1533-position model. The record is from RNAcentral.